RNAcentral lists this ribosomal RNA (409 nucleotides) under Hypericum japonicum. Its description in RNAcentral is "eukaryotic LSU rRNA". The stretch from base 260 to 409 matches the Rfam family "Eukaryotic large subunit ribosomal RNA", at positions 1 to 150 of the family's 3401-position model. Lineage: Eukaryota; Viridiplantae; Streptophyta; Magnoliopsida; Malpighiales; Hypericaceae. The record is from RNAcentral.
CCAAGGGCACGUCUGCCUGGGUGUCACACAUCGUCCCCACCGAAACAAAUGCUCCUUGUAGGUGUUUGGUAAGAGGAUGGGCGGAUAAUGGUCUCCCGUGCGCGGUUGCUCGCGGUUGGCCGAAAAAUGAGUUCCUGGUGAUAGCAAGCCAUGACCAGCGGUGGUUGAAAGACCCUCGAUGGGUGUCGUGAGAACUUGCAUCGCAUGUUGGGAGAUUCUGACCUUGAUCGUGUUUGAGCAUAUAUCAAACACUCUGAAGUGACCCCAGGUCAGGCGGGACUACCCGCUGAGUUUAAGCAUAUCAAUAAGCGGAGGAAAAGAAACUAACAAGGAUUCCCUUAGUAACGGCGAGCGAACCGGGAAAUGCCCAGCUUGAAAAUCGGAUGCCUUAGGCGUUCGAAUUGUAGUC